This 72-nucleotide transfer RNA is filed under the name Microbacterium phage Big4. RNAcentral's name for it is "tRNA-Gln". It matches the Rfam family "tRNA". Rfam says of the family: Transfer RNA (tRNA) molecules are approximately 80 nucleotides in length. Their secondary structure includes four short double-helical elements and three loops (D, anti-codon, and T loops). Lineage: Duplodnaviria; Heunggongvirae; Uroviricota; Caudoviricetes. The record is from RNAcentral.
ACUCUUGUGGUGUAACGGCAACACGCGAAGCUCUGACCUUCGUAUUCUUGGUUCGAAUCCAGGCAGGAGUGC